Molecule: small nucleolar RNA, 143 nt
Organism: Phacochoerus africanus (Common warthog)
Lineage: Eukaryota; Metazoa; Chordata; Mammalia; Artiodactyla; Suidae
Source: RefSeq, a predicted model, not a curated record
GCUCUGUCUUUGAGCCCCUGUUGCACCUGUGCAUGGCGCGGCGCCGGGGAGAGAGCACAGGCUGCAGUGCUAGAAUAUGCGCUUGCGUAUAACGGGUCAUCUGUCCCUGCCACGGGUAGCCCUUUUAACUGCUAGCAAGACAG